This 240-nucleotide unclassified non-coding RNA is filed under the name soil metagenome. RNAcentral describes it as "partial contains 5.8S ribosomal RNA, internal transcribed spacer 2, and large subunit ribosomal RNA". The record is from RNAcentral.
AACCUAGCACACCUGCGGUGUGUACCUGCGGAAGGAUCAUUAAAAAGAGUGUGUACCCCUCUGUAAAAUGAGUGGGUUACCUCCCGUCCUUUGUUGACCUCUUAGGAGGUUAUUUUGAACUUUCUGCUUCGGUGGGGUUAAACCUACCGGAACACCCUCAAAUUCUUAUCAUUUAAAAAUUGUUCAGUCUGAUUUUUGUUAAUAAAAACAAAAAACUUUUAACAAUGGAUCUCAGAUCGG